RNAcentral lists this unclassified non-coding RNA (217 nucleotides) under rhizosphere metagenome. Its description in RNAcentral is "partial ribosomal RNA internal transcribed spacer region". The record is from RNAcentral.
GUAGGUGAACCUGCGGAAGGAUCAUUACCGAGUCCUCCUGUUUUGCAGGAACUCCCACCCUUGAAGACAAAACAUGUUGCUUCGGCAAGACGUCUUGACGACCAUCGGAGUUUAGAUUUCGAUGUGCGCUUGCCGGAGUUAUAAACUCUGAACUUAUGAAUUGUCAGAUAAAACAAGCAAUAAAUAAAAACUUUCAACAACGGAUCUCUUGGUUUUG